RNAcentral lists this long non-coding RNA (4842 nucleotides) under Ixodes scapularis (black-legged tick). RNAcentral's name for it is "uncharacterized LOC115328904". The record is from RNAcentral. Lineage: Eukaryota; Metazoa; Arthropoda; Arachnida; Ixodida; Ixodidae.
UUGUAACCUACGAAACUUGUGAUCGCCGGGAAGAGAUGAACCAAAGACUACUGUCCUUCCUAAUCAGCAAUGUUCGCUUAUCUCGCGCUCUAUAGCACCAUUUCUACUGAGGUCACCAUUUGCCGGGGCCCUGCAAUUACUAGAAGUGGUCAAUAAAACUGUGGCUGGGUGCAGUUGGUUCAUAUCAUUAGAAGUGGGCUCAGGGGUUUCCCCAGGAAUUGAAAUCAGGGGGGGUGUCUAAAUUUUUUUGGGGGGGGCAUUGCGAAUAUAGGAGUCGUUGUGAAUUAAGGGGGUGCCUUCGGAAAAACGAGGCGGGGUCUAGGGAAAUCCCUGAGUGGACUAUCUUUAGGGGUUCUUGAAAAAACAGCAAAUCGGGCCAAAAAUAGGGGUGGGGCAUCUCGGGAUAUUACGGUAAGCUCUCUCCCUGUUCAGCUGUAGAGAGAGGCACAUAAAAUACAUCUACUCACCCAUGUGAAACUGUUCAUUUCCAGCUGAAUUAUGGAACUAGUCUUGGCUAGGUAAAUACAGCUAGAUUGUCUCAUUUCCAGCCCAGCUGGAACCAGUUCAGUAAUCCGGCUGGAAUCGGACUGGGAGCAGAAACUUCAAACAUCGUGCGAAGUCAUAUUUUGUGGCACACGCCGGACACCUUCCUGCAACUCUGGCAGACCGCUCUCUGGAAAAUUGUCCCCCAAAGAAAAUGUGGAAAAUGACACAUUGCUGCCCUGGAGAGAUGUCCCUCCUCGCCACCUGAGCCAAGUCGACAUUUGGCAGCAUGCACAUUCUCCCCACAGGGCCUUUGUUUACACUGAUGGGAUGACAACGCACCGGACUGGUGGCAUGGUCCGGAGAAUGUUCACCCCAAGGGCAGCGAGCCGCCUUGUCUACGAGGCAGCUUGGGCAACUGGCCAUCCCAGGCACAGCCACAGCAAGAGGGCUCUCACCAGUGUCGCUUUUGUCCCUACACCAGCCGUUACCGGCAGAACAUUACCAGCCACGAAAGGAGGCACACGGGGGAGAAACCCUUCAGCUGCCACUUCUGUCCGAAGGCGUUUGGCCAGACCUCUCACCGACUGGUCCACGAAAGAACUCAUACGGGCGAGAAACCUUUCCGGUGCGAGGUCUGCCAGAAGGCGUUUGUACAGAAGUCCGACAUGUUGCGACACAAAAAGAUCCACACCGGGGGCAGAAAGCCGCACCAGUGUGGAACGUGCGGGAAAGCGUUCAUGUUCCGAUACACCCUGUUGGACCACGAGAGGAUUCACAAUGGAGAUCGGCCGUACGUGUGCGAGGUGUGCGGGCAGACAUACACACGGAGUUGCCAUUUGAAGGAUCAUCAGAAGAGUAGGCACAUGUGACUUGUGCCGUGCAACAUCAGCGGAGAUGGUUUGUGGGGAUAAAGUUCUGCCUGGUGCUUCACUGCCAGUCUUUAAUAUUUUUUUCCGCUACCUCCGUGGCUCCAAGGCAAAGCUUCGGCCUACGGAUGCCCAGGUGGUGGGUUCGAGUGCUGGCUGGGGUGCAAGCAAUCUGACGGAGGCUUAUUACGGAGAAGAUUUCGGUUGCACAACACAAGGUACCCAGGUAGUCGAGAUUAAUCCUCCAUUUUCCGCUGGGGCAUGCCAGAUGCCCUUCAUUUUUUUGGCGCAUAAAACCUCAAAAUUUGAAUGUUUCGAUGGACGAAGAGCAUGUUGAUGCGAUCGAGAUUAAAGUAAAAAUAAACGUAGGACAAAGACAACACAACCACAUCUUUCAUGAAAGAUGUGGUUGUAUUGUGUAUGUCCCACAUGUUUAUUCUUUUUUAGAGCACAGCUCGUAGACGCCCGUAUCCAGCUUGAGCAGCGUCGCUGUCGGUGUAGCUGCGUACGUUGCGUUAUGACACGUUUCCCCGCUGAAGUUAGCGGGCAAAUUUUCCUGCUAAAUUCAGCGGGAGACUUUUUCCGCUAAAUUCAGCGAGGAAUUUUUUAUGCUAAAUUUUGCGGGGAAAUGUUGCCACUAAAUUUAGCAAGGAAUUUAGCGGAAAAAAUUCCUCGGUAAAUUUAGCAGGGAAAGUUUCACUAAAUGGCAGAGGAGGGUAGAGGGGGACGAGGGGCAUACCCUCCCCUCCUCCUCCUCAAGAGCUGUGCUCUAAUUCGGCAUUACAGAGAAUUGUAAAUGUCUUUCAUUUUUUUCCACUUGAAUAUUUGCUUGUGUAAAGAAACAUAGCAAUAAGGUUCCUCAGCAUCUUUCCGCUCAGGGUGAUGACAUUGUUGGUAGUACUCUGUGACGACAGGACGCGCUCACUGGAAAAAUGGAAAGAGAUGGGUGGAAACAAAAUGCCGCAGCAGCAGUCGAUGCCAGGAGUUUGUGCCAGGAGACACGCUUUGAGGCACUCUAGAAAACAAAAAUACAAAAAUGCUAUCGGGACAAAAUGGUUAGAUGUCAUCACCCUAAUCAGUGCGUACAUGAAGUCAUCCUAGUAGUAAUAUAAGCAACUUUACAGUCAAGUUUCAUCAUAUAUGAACAGUGUCAUUUGUUGCGAUUGAUCCUCCAAAGAUAGCUGCAGUACCACACACUGUUCUGCUACUGUUUUUUGUUCCCCUGGUACCUCGAAACAUCUAUGGAUUUCUUUCUGUUGACCUUGUAUAAGAGUAAUCCCCACCAAAUGUACUUCGAUUUCGUCAGACCUGGUCGUAGUUUUGUCGCUUCUAAAGUAGCUCAAGAUUGCCGCACAUUAAUUUGCACUAGAGUAGGCUCGCGAUAAUUCAAACUCUGAGAUUUCAUACUUCUGGUUAAUUCAAACAAAUUUCAAAAUUUUGGUUGUCCCACUAAGCUUUUAAUUUAUUCAUAAGCCGCUUAAUUCAAACAAUGUUUUCGUGUAAUUUAUACGUUUUGUUCUCGCGGCCCCUUUGAGUGUGCUUCUUUCCGAGCACGGGUGCACUCCAGAGGGACAACACCGACGGAGCUUGCUUCCGCGGGUGUUGCUUCUCCGCAGUGCACAGGUGCUCGGUGGAGAAGCGCAUUCAACGGAACUCAAGUUGGGCACGGACGAGCUAUGUGAACAGGCACCACGCGAAAAUUUCCAUAGCAAUUUGCGCAGAAGCUGCAACGUGGCGGCAUGGCAAAGGCCCACGUUAGAGCGUCCGCGCAGGUUCCUAUGAAAGCCGCCGCGUGGUGCCAAUUCUCACCGCUCAUGUGUCCCCUGUGUAAUAGUCCACAUCAAACAAUUUCCUGGUCUGAUGAACAAACUUAAUUUUGUUUUGUCAUGUGCCAAGAGUCCACAAAAAAAAAAAAAACACACAUUUUUGAGAGAUAAGUAAACUUAUACACAGUGUCUAGCGUUACGUCCAACGAAACCCAAAAUAAAGAUUAGACUUACGUUUGACGUAAGCUUGCCCCAAGGUUUUGAGUUACGUCCAAUCUAACCCAAUGUGAAAAUUAAAGUUACGUUCAAUCUAACCCAAUGUGAAAAUUAAAGUUACGUCCAACGGAACUUGAAAUAAAAACCAAAGUUACGUCCGACGUAACUUUACCCCAAGAUAACUUUAUUGAAUGUUAUGCUUUACAGCCAAUACAUGAUGCAAAUACAAACAUAUCGUGAUUGGUUAAUUGGUUAAAAUUUCGACAUCACCUGCACCUCCAGGUACAGAUGCCCGUCACAUUAUUUUUUUUUCUUUCUCGUGUUUUUCCUUUUUUAAGACAAUUUUUUUUUCUCCUUUAAGACGAUUUCUUGCGACGCCUUCCAAAAAUCGUGGAUGUUCGGAGCAAUUGUUGAGAGAUAUAAUGGGAGUGUGAUAUGAAUGUGCUGUUCACAGCAGCAGGGUUCCCUGUAGACUUGUUGAACACUGGCACAGUCUUCACGUACCACUCAAGUCGCCACGUGCACUAGCUUUGGCAGUGUUUUCUUCCAGAAUGUCUUAAAUAAAGAGCUGUUUGGAGGGUGCCGCCCGGGUGUGAGAGUGGCGAUAGACCUUCGGCCUUUAGCCGUAUCAACCUAGCUCUCAGCCCGAGCCAGCAAGGGCUACAAGCAGGUGAAAAAAACGCGGCAAGGAUAGCAAGAAGGGUUUUGAUAUCGAAAAAAAUGCAAUAAGGUGGGGAAAGAAGAGAAAGAAAAAAAAAAUGUAUGUGACUGGCAUCAAACCCACACAGCCUCAGCAGCCCCGAUGUGCGAGGAACACACUCCAGCCCUCUCAAAAAAGCUAAAGCACGGAUGAAGUUGAGAUUUUAACCAAUUCAAGAAUGCUGCAUCGGACAUAACACAGUAAUAGUUCACAAUAGUUUCGUAUUUAUGUCAUGUAUCGGCCAUAAAACGAAACAUACGCAUAGGUUGCGUAGGUGACAGAGGACACAACGUUCAACUUUUAUUUCGGGUUCCGUCGGACGUAACUUCACUCUUUAUUGAAAGUUCGGUCGGAAGUAACCUUAAUUUUCAUAUUGGGUUACAUCGGACGGACGUAACUCGAAACCUUGGGGUAAAGUUACAUCGGACGUAACUUUAAUUUUUAUUUCGGGUUUUGUUGCAAGUAACGCUAGACACUGCGAAACUUAUAUGUCAUACAUUUUACAAAUUUCAUGUGUGACUUACCUGCUUAUAAUCUAUGUGGAGGAAAUCAUAAAAUAUCUAUUUUAUCUUGCAUCAUAUUUAGUUGAAUUUCUGGUAACUGAAACAAAAUUUCUGGCCUCCUGGAGUUUGACUUAUUGAGUCUACCGUAUUCCCGAUAUCGCAAAGCAAUGUCUGUUUACACUACAUACUUCACCGACGAUUGUGCAUUGUACGCAUCAGUGUCUUGUGAAGCGGGUUCCACUUGGCUUACGAGUGAUCUAAAACGAGUUGAAAGAUGGUGUAUAAUAAAAUGACCGUGAAUAUUA